Molecule: ribosomal RNA, 344 nt
Filed under: uncultured bacterium
Lineage: Bacteria
Description: bacterial SSU rRNA
Rfam family: Bacterial small subunit ribosomal RNA
Source: RNAcentral
GGCCGCGGGAAUUCGAUUCAGGCCUAACACAUGCAAGUCGAGCGGAGAUGAGGUGCUUGCACCUUAUCUUAAAAAAGGACGGGUGAGUAAUGCUUAGGAAUCUGCCUAUUAGUGGGGGACAACAUUCCGAAGGGAAUGCUAAUGCCGCAUACGUCCUACGGGAGAAAGCAGGGGAUCUUCGGACCUUGCGCUAAUAGACGAGCCUAAGUCGGAUUAGCUAGUUGGUGGGGUAAAGGCCUACCAAGGCGACGAUCUGUAGCGGGUCUGAGAGGAUGAUCCGCCACACUGGUUUUGGGGCACGGCCCAGACUCCUGCGGGAGGCAGCAGGGGGGGAUAUUGGACAA